This 820-nucleotide long non-coding RNA is filed under the name Malus domestica (apple). Its description in RNAcentral is "long non-coding RNA (MDOM_LNC005822)". The record is from RNAcentral. Lineage: Eukaryota; Viridiplantae; Streptophyta; Magnoliopsida; Rosales; Rosaceae.
GAACCACUCCAAGUUCAGUAAUGAACUUCUUCAUCCAGAACGCUUCUUUGCCGGCUUCAGCUGCAGCGACAUUUUCUGCCUCCGUCUGAUGUGAAAAAUAAGUUAACACACAAAUUAACCCUCUUGUUGACAAUUGUAGUAUGGAUAAGUAGGGAUCGUUCUUAAACCGGGGAUUAGGAGGGAUUGCUAAAACACUCUAAACUGACUCAAAUCUGUGAAACAAAGUUUAAAAAUACGAAACUAGACUCAAAGAAUGCAAAACUAAACUCUAAAACACUAAAACGAACCAAAAGAAUCAAAACAGCAACCAAACACUCAAAACUGCCUAAAAACCACUUUCUGGGCAGUUUUGAACACAAAGCAUCAAAUUGGACGAAUUUGGGUUUUAACUUGUACCAAAACACUUAAAAACAUAAACCAACACACUUUCCAAUUAAUCUAGGAAUUCAAAAUAAUUGGGGAUUUGAUUUGGACGAAAAUAAACUUAAAUGGUAGAUUGUAAGAGAAACAGAUUGUAAUACAAAGUUAUGAAGAAUCAAUGGAUGAUGGAAUGGCUAAGGGGUUCUUCUCCACACAUGAAAUAUAUGCAACGUAAAUCAAUUUCCAGUUAUCAAUUCAAUAAGUUAUAAACCUCAACACUCCAAGGUAAUUAGGUCCGCUUAAAUUAACCUUCAGAUUUCCCUAGGAUCAUUCAAUUGGAUGAAUAUGCAUCGCAAACAAAUUAUUCCUAACAAGUUCUUUAUAUGAACAACAUGAUAAAGACACAAGUUAGAAUCAUUACGUUCUUUGGAAAUCAUAAGCAUCGACAAGGCAUUCGUAA